GUGGGGAAUCUUCCGCAAUGGACGAAAGUCUGACGGAGCAACGCCGCGUGAGUGAUGAAGGUCUUCGGAUUGUAAAGCUCUGUUAAUCGGGACGAAAGAGCCUAGUGUGAAUAAUGCUAGGAAGUGACGGUACCGGAAUAGAAAGCCACGGCUAACUACGUGCCAGCAGCCGCGGUAAUACGUAGGUGGCAAGCGUUGUCCGGAAUUAUUGGGCGUAAAGCGCGCGCAGGCGGAUCUGCCAGUCUGUCUUAAAAGUUCGGGGCUUAACCGCGGGGUGGGAUGGAAACUGCAGAUCUAGAGUAUCGGAGAGGAAAGUGGAAUUCCUAGUGUAGCGGUGAAAUGCGUAGAUAUUAGGAGGAACACCAGUGGCGAAGGCGACUUUCUGGACUGUAACUGACGCUGAGGCUCGAAAGCCAGGGGAGCGAACGGGAUUAGAAACCCCGGUAGUCC
RNAcentral lists this ribosomal RNA (450 nucleotides) under uncultured bacterium. Its description in RNAcentral is "partial 16S ribosomal RNA". It matches the Rfam family "Bacterial small subunit ribosomal RNA", at positions 354 to 796 of the family's 1533-position model. The record is from RNAcentral.